This 462-nucleotide ribosomal RNA is filed under the name uncultured Syntrophorhabdus sp. Its description in RNAcentral is "bacterial SSU rRNA". It matches the Rfam family "Bacterial small subunit ribosomal RNA", at positions 925 to 1382 of the family's 1533-position model. Lineage: Bacteria; Pseudomonadati; Thermodesulfobacteriota; Syntrophorhabdia; Syntrophorhabdales; Syntrophorhabdaceae. The record is from RNAcentral.
ACAAGCGGUGGAGCAUUGUGGUUUAAUUCGACGCAACGCGAAAAACCUUACCUGGGCUUGACAUGGAGAGAAUCUCCUGGAAACAGGAGAGUGCCUCGCAAGAGGAGCUCUCACACAGGUGCUGCAUGGCUGUCGUCAGCUCGUGCCGUGAGGUGUUGGGUUAAGUCCCGCAACGAGCGCAACCCCCAUCCCCAGUUGCCAUCAUUAAGUUGGGCACUCUGAGGAAACUGCCCGGGUUAACCGGGAGGAAGGCGGGGAUGACGUCAAGUCCUCAUGGCCCUUAUGUCCAGGGCUACACACGUGCUACAAUGGGCGGUACAAAGGGUCGCAAACCCGUAAGGGGGAGCUAAUCCACCAAAAGCCGUCCUCAGUUCGGAUUGAGGUCUGCAACUCGACCUCAUGAAGCUGGAAUCGCUAGUAAUCGCGGAUCAGCAUGCCGCGGUGAAUACGUCCCUGCUCCUU